AGAGUUUGAUCCUGGCUCAGAACGAACGCUGGCGGCGUGCUUAACACAUGCAAGUCGAACGCGAAAGGGACUUCGGUCCCGAGUAGAGUGGCGCACGGGUGAGUAACGCGUAAGUAACCUACCCCUGUAUCUGGAAUAACCCACCGAAAGGUGAGCUAAUACCGGAUACGUUUAUCUUGAUGCGAAUGAUGAUAAAGAAAGGUGGCCUCUUCAUGAAAGCUACCGUACAGGGACGAGCUUGCGUACCAUUAGCUGGUUGGUAGGGUAAUGGCCUACCAAGGCGACGAUGGUUAGCGGGUCCGAGAGGAUGAUCCGCCACACUGGAACUGAAACACGGACCAGACUCCUACGGGAGGCAGCAGUGAGGAAUAUUGCGCAAUGGGGGCAACCCUGACGCAGCGACGCCGCGUGGACGAUGAAGGCCCUUGGGUCGUAAAAUCCUGUCAGAUGGAAAGAAAUGUACAGGUGUUAAUAUCGCCUGUAUUUGACGGUACCAUCAAAGGAAGCACCGGCUAACUCCGUGCCAGCAGCCGCGGUAAUACGGAGGGUGCGAGCGUUGUUCGGAAUUACUGGGCGUAAAGCGCGCGUAGGCGGUUUGCUAAGUCAGAUGUGAAAGGCCCUCGCUUACCNGGGGACGUGCAUUU
Molecule: ribosomal RNA, 644 nt
Filed under: uncultured Desulfobulbaceae bacterium
Lineage: Bacteria; Pseudomonadati; Thermodesulfobacteriota; Desulfobulbia; Desulfobulbales; Desulfobulbaceae
Description: bacterial SSU rRNA
Rfam family: Bacterial small subunit ribosomal RNA
Source: RNAcentral